This 254-nucleotide ribosomal RNA is filed under the name uncultured bacterium. RNAcentral's name for it is "partial 16S ribosomal RNA". It matches the Rfam family "Bacterial small subunit ribosomal RNA", at positions 524 to 776 of the family's 1533-position model. The record is from RNAcentral.
UACGUAGGGUCCGAGCGUUGUCCGGAAUUAUUGGGCGUAAAGAGCUCGUAGGCGGUCUGUCGCGUCGGUCGUGAAAACUUGGGGCUUAACCCUGAGCUUGCGGUCGAUACGGGCAUGACUGGAGUUCGGCAGGGGAGACUGGAAUUCCUGGUGUAGCGGUGAAAUGCGCAGAUAUCAGGAAGAACACCAAUGGCGAAAGCAGCUCUCUGGGACGGUACUGACGCUGAGACGCGAAAGCGUGGGGAGCGAACAGG